Long non-coding RNA from Callithrix jacchus (white-tufted-ear marmoset), 503 nucleotides. RefSeq lists it as uncharacterized. NCBI's taxonomy places the organism in Eukaryota, Metazoa, Chordata, Mammalia, Primates, Cebidae. The record is from RefSeq and is a predicted model, not a curated record.
GGGACUUUACCCACUUGGUCCUCCGAUUUGGAUCCUGUACUUAUCUCAUCCCUCCUGCAACCCACGGUCCACGAGAGCCCCACCAGACUGAGGGGCACCACGGGUUGUCAAUGCAAAUCGGAGUGACGGCUUCUGCGCAAGUUGUUGGUUGGAUCUGGGUGGAAGAUUGCACUAACGCCAGCAGGACAGAACAACCGUCCCACAGAAAGAGGCAGAGCUGAAAGCAGUCACUGCUUCUAUUCUGGAUCGCUCAUCAUGAUCACUGCAGAUGCAGACUUCCAAGAUGUGAAUCGGAUCCUGUUCCUUCCUUGCUUGAAUCUUUAAUGACUCCCUACUGCUCUCGAGGGGAACGGAAAGCAUGUAGGAAGAACGAGGCCACAUACCCACUGCUGCAAAGCACGGCAUGAACCACCUCGAGCGAGAGCUUGCUCCUGGAGCGGCCUCUUCUGCAUUUGGUCUAUGAGAUUCCUGCUCCCCCUGGUCAGGCCUGGCAGGGCUCUGCC